RNAcentral lists this ribosomal RNA (448 nucleotides) under Salmonella enterica. RNAcentral's name for it is "partial 23S ribosomal RNA". It matches the Rfam family "Bacterial large subunit ribosomal RNA", at positions 2261 to 2708 of the family's 2925-position model. RNAcentral also lists the same sequence under 2 other names. Lineage: Bacteria; Pseudomonadati; Pseudomonadota; Gammaproteobacteria; Enterobacterales; Enterobacteriaceae. The record is from RNAcentral.
GUGGGUAGUUUGACUGGGGCGGUCUCCUCCUAAAGAGUAACGGAGGAGCACGAAGGUUGGCUAAUCCUGGUCGGACAUCAGGAGGUUAGUGCAAUGGCAUAAGCCAGCUUGACUGCGAGCGUGACGGCGCGAGCAGGUGCGAAAGCAGGUCAUAGUGAUCCGGUGGUUCUGAAUGGAAGGGCCAUCGCUCAACGGAUAAAAGGUACUCCGGGGAUAACAGGCUGAUACCGCCCAAGAGUUCAUAUCGACGGCGGUGUUUGGCACCUCGAUGUCGGCUCAUCACAUCCUGGGGCUGAAGUAGGUCCCAAGGGUAUGGCUGUUCGCCAUUUAAAGUGGUACGCGAGCUGGGUUUAGAACGUCGUGAGACAGUUCGGUCCCUAUCUGCCGUGGGCGCUGGAGAACUGAGGGGGGCUGCUCCUAGUACGAGAGGACCGGAGUGGACGCAUCA